RNAcentral lists this ribosomal RNA (373 nucleotides) under uncultured bacterium. RNAcentral's name for it is "bacterial SSU rRNA". It matches the Rfam family "Bacterial small subunit ribosomal RNA", at positions 434 to 793 of the family's 1533-position model. The record is from RNAcentral.
CAGUAGGGAGGAAGGUAGUGUAGUUAACACCUGCAUUAUUUGACGUUACCUACAGAAGAAGCACCGGCUAACUCCGUGCCAGCAGCCGCGGUAAUACGGAGGGUGCGAGCGUUAAUCGGAAUUACUGGGCGUAAAGCGCAUGCAGGCGGCCUGUUAAGUCAGAUGUGAAAGACCCGGGGCGUUAACCUCGGAAUUGCAUUUGUAAACUAGGCAGGCUAGAGUCUUGUAGAGGGGGGUAGGAAGUUUCAGGUGUAGCGGUGAAAUAGCGUAGAGAUCUGAAGGAAUACCAGUGGCGAAGGCGGCCCCCCUGGACAAAGACUGACGCUCAGAUGCGAAAGCGUGGGGAGCAAACAGGAUUAGAUACCCCUGGUAG